CAGCCGUAAACUAUGCGCGUUAGGUGUAUCGGUGACCACGAGUUACCGAGGUGCCGAAGGGAAACCGUGAAACGUGCCGCCUGGGAAGUACGGUCGCAAGGCUGAAACUUAAAGGAAUUGGCGGGGGAGCACCACAACAGGUGGGGCCUGCGGUUUAAUUGGACUCAACGCCGGGAAGCUCACCGGAUAGGACAGCAGAAUGAUUGCCGGGCUGAAGACCCUGCAUGACUAGCUGAGAGGUGGUGCAUGGCGUCAGUGACU
Molecule: ribosomal RNA, 261 nt
Filed under: uncultured archaeon
Lineage: Archaea
Description: partial 16S ribosomal RNA
Rfam family: Archaeal small subunit ribosomal RNA
Source: RNAcentral